This 440-nucleotide ribosomal RNA is filed under the name uncultured bacterium. RNAcentral's name for it is "partial 16S ribosomal RNA". It matches the Rfam family "Bacterial small subunit ribosomal RNA", at positions 338 to 795 of the family's 1533-position model. The record is from RNAcentral.
CCUACGGGAGGCAGCAGUGGGGAAUAUUGCACAAUGGGGGAAACCCUGAUGCAGCGACGCCGCGUGAGUGAAGAAGUAUUUCGGUAUGUAAAGCUCUAUCAGCAGGGAAGAAAAUGACGGUACCUGAUUAAGAAGCCCCGGCUAACUACGUGCCAGCAGCCGCGGUAAUACGUAGGGGGCAAGCGUUAUCCGGAUUUACUGGGUGGAAAGGGAGCGCAGACGGCAGGGCAAGUCUGAUGUGAAAGUCCGGGGCUCAACCCCGGGACUGCAUUGGAAACUGUCCGGCUAGAGUGCAGGAGAGGUAAGUGGAAUUCCUAGUGUAGCGGUGAAAUGCGUAGAUAUUAGGAGGAACACCAGUGGCGAAGGCGGCUUACUGGACUGUAACUGACGUUGAGGCUCGAAAGCGUGGGGAGCAAACAGGAUUAGAUACCCCGGUAGUC